Non-coding RNA from Triticum aestivum (bread wheat), 119 nucleotides. Lineage: Eukaryota; Viridiplantae; Streptophyta; Magnoliopsida; Poales; Poaceae. The record is from Rfam.
GGAUGCGAUCAUACCAGCACUAAAGCACCGGAUCCCAUUAGAACUCUGAAGUUAAGCGUGCUUGGGCGAGAGUAGUACUAGGAUGGGUGACCUCCUGGGAAGUCCUCGUGUUGCAUUCC